GGCUCCAGGGGUUCAGGCGGCGUCGGGGGUGGGUGGCUCCGGGGUUCAGGUGGCGUGGGGGGCGGGCAGCUCUGGGGGUUCAGGCAUCAGGUGGCUCCGGGGGUUCAGGUGUCAGGCGGCGUCGGGGGCGGGCGGCUCUGGGGGUUCAGGCAUCAGGUGGCUCCGGGGGUUCAGGUGUCAGGCGGCGUCGGGGGCGGGUGGCUCCGGGGGUUCAGGCGUCAGGCGGCAUCGGGGGUGGGUGGCUCCGGGGGUUCAGGCGUCAGGCGGCUCCGGGGGUUCAGGUAUCAGGCGGCGUCGGGGGCGGGUGGCUCCGGGGGUUCAGGCAUCAGGCGGCUCUGGGGGUUCAGGUAUCAGGCGGCAUCGGGGGCGGGUGGCUCCGGGGGUUCAGGCCUCAGGCGGCUCCGGGGGUUCAGGUGUCAGGCGGCAUCGGGGGCGGGUGGCUCCGGGGGUUCAGGCAUCGGGUGGCUCCGGGAGUUCAGGCGGCGUCGGGGGUGGGUGGCUCCGGGGUUCAGGCAUCGGGUGGCUCUGGGGGUACAGGCGUCAGGCGGCUCCGGGGGUUCAGGCGUCAGGCGGCGUCGGGGGCGGGCGGCUCUGGGGGUUCAGGCGUC
Long non-coding RNA from Gopherus flavomarginatus (Mexican gopher tortoise), 608 nucleotides. RefSeq lists it as uncharacterized. The transcript is spliced from 6 exons. The record is from RefSeq and is a predicted model, not a curated record. NCBI's taxonomy places the organism in Eukaryota, Metazoa, Chordata, Testudines, Testudinidae.